Molecule: non-coding RNA, 9364 nt
Organism: Anas platyrhynchos (mallard)
Lineage: Eukaryota; Metazoa; Chordata; Aves; Anseriformes; Anatidae
Source: RefSeq, a predicted model, not a curated record
GCGGCGGCGAGGCCGUUUCGCUCGCCGCCAUUUUGCGCAGCGGGCUCUGAGGAGCAGCAGCCGGGGCGCGUCUCCUCCUCCUCCUCACCACCACCACCACCAUGUCGCGGGAUCGGUUCCGUAGCCGUGGCGGCGGCGGCGGCGGCUUCCACCGGCGAGGCGGCGGCGGUGGCCGCGGCGGCCCCAACCACGAUUUCCGCUCCCCGCCGCCCGGCAUGGGGAUGGGCCAGAACCGCGGGCCCAUGGGGGGCGGCCCGCAAGGCCCGGGCGGCCCGCCGGGCGGCGGCCCCAAGCCCGAACCCCCGAAGCCUCCCGCGUCGACCUCGGCUCCGCCGCCUUCGUCCUCUUCGUCCGCUUCCACCACGGCGGGGCCCGCCGGCAGCCAGCCCGGCCCUGGGGCUCCUCCGCCGGCCGCUCUGCCCGCGGGGCAGCCGCCGCAGCAGCAGGCUCAGGGCUCCGCGCCCGCCUCGGCUCCCCCCGGCCCCGGGGGGCAGCCUCAACCGCAGCCCAAGCCCAGCCCCAGCCCCACGCCGGCCGGAGGCCCUAAGAAAGGCCAAGGACAAUCGCCCGGCGGCGGGCCCAAGGGGCCUGGCGGACCCCAGCAGGGGCCGGGCGGGCCUCAUAAAGGCGGACCGGGCCACCGCGGCGGGCCGGGCGGAGAACCGCGGGGCCGCGGGCAGCAGCACCAGGGACAGCAGAGCCUCUCAUCGCAGCAGGGCCCGGCCGGAGGCGGCGGAGGCGAGAAGCUUUCGGACGAGGGUUUUAAAGCGAAUCUGUCGCUUCUGAGGCGGCCCGGGGAGAAGACCUAUACGCAGCGCUGCCGUUUGUUUGUGGGGAAUUUGCCUGCCGAUAUAACGGAUGAAGACUUUAAGAGGUUGUUUGCCAAGUAUGGGGAGCCAGGAGAGGUUUUUAUCAACAAAGGGAAAGGCUUUGGAUUCAUUAAACUGGAAUCCAGAGCUCUUGCAGAAAUCGCAAAGGCAGAAUUGGAUGAUACCCCUAUGAGGGGUCGACAGCUUCGUGUUCGGUUUGCCACACAUGCUGCUGCUCUGUCAGUGCGUAAUCUGUCACCUUAUGUCUCCAACGAGUUACUCGAGGAAGCGUUUUCCCAGUUUGGUCCAGUGGAAAGAGCUGUUGUGAUUGUAGAUGAUCGAGGUAGAUCAACAGGAAAAGGCAUUGUUGAAUUUGCAUCAAAGCCAGCUGCUCGAAAAGCGUUUGAACGGUGUACUGAAGGAGUGUUUUUGUUGACAACAACUCCUAGGCCGGUUAUUGUGGAACCACUGGAACAGCUGGAUGAUGAAGAUGGUCUUCCAGAAAAGCUUGCUCAGAAGAAUCCAAUGUAUCAAAAGGAAAGAGAGACUCCUCCCCGUUUUGCUCAGCCUGGCAGUUUUGAAUUUGAGUAUUCCCAGAGGUGGAAAUCUUUAGAUGAAAUGGAAAAACAGCAGAGAGAGCAAGUGGCAAAAAACAUGAAAGAUGCCAAGGACAAACUUGAAAGUGAGAUGGAAGAUGCUUAUCAUGAGCAUCAGGCAAACCUCUUGCGUCAAGAUCUUAUGAGGCGUCAGGAGGAACUGAGACGUAUGGAAGAACUCCAUAAUCAAGAAAUGCAGAAACGCAAGGAAAUUCAGCUGAGGCAGGAGGAGGAGCGUCGCAGGCGGGAAGAAGAAAUGAUGAUACGCCAGCGAGAGAUGGAAGAACAGAUGAGAAGACAGAGGGAAGAGAAUUAUAGUAGAAUGGGUUACAUGGAUCCAAGGGAGAGAGACAUGAGAAUGGGUGGUGCCACCACAAUGAACAUGGGAGAUCCUUAUGCUUCUGCAGCCCAGAAAUUUCCACCUCUCGGAGGUGGUGGCGGCAUAGGUUAUGAAGCUAAUCCAGGAGUUGGCCAAGCAGCCAUGAGUGGUUCUAUGAUGGGAAGUGACAUGCGUCCUGAACGCUUUGGGCAGGGAGGUGCGGGGCCUGUGGGUGGCCAGGGUCCUAGAGGAAUGGGGCCUGGAACGCCAACAGGAUAUGGUAGAGGGAGAGAAGAAUAUGAAGGCCCAAACAAAAAGCCCCGAUUUUAGAUGUGACCUGUAGUUUCAUUCCAGUUUGUUUUGUCUGUCUUGUUUAGACACCAACUUUUUAAUUCUUGCAUUUUAGUAAGAAAGCUACGUUUUUAUGGAUGUUAGAAACUUACUGACCUAAUAUUUGUAAGUGGUCUGUUUGGGCGAGUACAAUUUAAUUAUGUAAUGCAGUGUUUCAAAGCAAAUUUAGCUGUUUUUUUGAUGUAUAACGUCCCUAACUUGAUGGCAGUGUACCUUGUGCCACUGAAUUCCCAAAGUGUACCAACUUUUUUUUACUGUGCUUCAAAUAAAUAGAAAACUAAAUGUAGUAACUUUUCUUGCCAUUCAUGGUUAAAUUAAGAGGCUAAAUACCACACCUUCAGCAGUAAACCAAGAGUCUUGCCACAGAGGUCAAACCAGACCAGGGUGUGGAACUGUAGUGAAGAGCUGAGAUCUCUUCCUGCAACGCCUCUAGCUUAAGAUUGGGUCAAACAGUAGCUUAACUUUCUAGUAGGUGCAGAUUUUUUAAGCAUUAAUUGUGCUGCAAUAAGGAAGCAAAUGGAAAUCUUGCAGGUGCUGUAAGAUAAUGGUCAUGAAAGCUACACUGCAAGUAAUGCAGUAUGCAAUGAAUUUCAUAUUAUAGCUAUGGAUAAUGGGUGGUGGGAUGAUAGCACUUACCACCUUGGCAGUUACUGCUUGGAAUUUUUUAAAGUCUUUAAGCAGAAGACUUAGCAAUGGUUAUUUUAAAAAUAAAUCCAUAGAAAGACUUGUAUUGACUGACUUCCUAUCUUACGGAUUAUUAUUGAGUUAUUUAUAUGCUCUUAAGCUGUUUGAGAUUCCAGGAUCUGGCCUUGCUCCGUAUUGUAUAUCUGCCUGAAAUUGCUUGGCAAAAAGACCAGAAGUGCUACUUGAGUGAUGAGGGGAGAACCUGCUAAUUCAUACUUGUAACUUGCUUAUGUCCUCAUGCUAAUUGAGUGGACUAAUUUGCAUAGUUCAGAAUUCAAUUGUAUUAUGGGGGCUGCAGCAAUUAGUCUUUAAGUCUUGUAGCUGGUGGGUAAAUCCUAAAUGCCUGUAUGUAAAAUACAGAGAAACGAGCAUUCUUGCACGAUGGUUAUUGCUAUUAUUGAUGUGGGGAGGUAAUGCAUCAAAAGCAGUAUCUAAAUCUGGAGCUAACAGUUAAUACUGCACAGUACAAAUAAACUCCCUUCAAGGCUGUUUUGUAGGUCUGAUGAAUUCAUUAGCUUGCUGAUAACUUCGUUAAGCCCCAGAAGAAUUUCAAAGCAUUCUGGACUCAUAAGGUAGCUGCUUUGCUUAUUAUGACACUGUACUAGAUGAGCUGGGAACGUGACUUCCCAGCAUAAAAUGCCUUGGUGUUAAUGCAGGAUACAUCAACCUGCUUGGCACAAAGUAGGUAAACUUUGGCUGUACCUUCACACCACUCCCCAACUCCCGAGCAUUCUGUGAGUAGCUUUAAUCUUACCAAGAUCUUUCCACUCCUUGUGCGAAGCAUUGGCUAAUUCUAAAUUCUAUGCUAAAUUUUCUCUGUGGUUAAAAGUUGUCAGACUGCAGUAUUUUAGAGUGCGGAUGAUCGCUCUUGAAGUACUCACUGUAAGUGCUGUUACUCCUCAAAUGAAAAAAAAUAUAGCAGGUUGUGAAAUAUUGAUAACAGGUAACACUGACUUGGGAAUAUUCAGUGCACUAAAUAGUGACUCAGCUGGUUUGGUGAAUGCUUCUUAUUUUCACAGAGAAGUGUGGAGGUUGAUAACAUGCUAAGACAAUGAAUUGCUAUUCAGGAAAUUCCGAAUUGGCAGUUCCUAAACUGCAGACCAGGUAUUUGGGAGUACUCGUAUUGGAUACUUAGCCUAAAAAUCAGCAGUCCCACUGCAAUUUGCUUUAAGUAGUCCUAAAUAAUGCUUAUGUUUUCUGCAGGGUGUUCAUGGGACACCCACAAGAAGUGAAGGUGUCUGAGAUGGGGAAUUCUGAACGUAAACAUUUAAAUUAAUUUUUUCAGUUUAUUUUUCAGAUUACAUGUCAUUCUUUAUUAAAGAGAUGCCGGUGCAUAUCCUAAAGUAUGUUCUCUUGUAGCUCUGUAACUUUGAAGAGUGAAGGAUGCUGAUGUCCUUGUACCUUACAGAGGUUCUCUCUUGGUACCCCUGUUUUGUAUGUAAGCUCCUGUUGCUAGGUACUAAAAAUCGAUGAGUUGCAAAACCAUGACCAGUAAAUACAUAGAAGAAUCAGCAGUUUUCAAAACACCUGAAAGUUUGGUUAAAUGUGGCUUCGUUGUAGCUGCAUAAGCAGAAUUCCUAAAACUCUAAAGUUCUGCUUUGAGUUGCAUGUAUUCAACAGGCAUACAAGUAAAUAGCCAACUGGAUUUCAAGACCUUUUAAAGGUGGUGUCUUAAAAGCUGGCAAACAAUUUAAGACUGAUAAAGUUACUAAAUGUGGGAGGUGAGACGGUUAUGUUCCUUUGAUCUGAUCCUAUGAGGUUUUGGACUUUUUUCAUAAAAUCAGAUUGAUGUAAUUGAAUCUUUAAAACAACUUAGAAAAGUGCUUGGUUGGUCAGACCUAUUUUUGGAUGGUCUGGCUCACAACACCUUUUUGUACUGGACUUGGAGGACAUUGGCUGUUGCAAUUUAGCUCGCUUUAACAAAAUUGAGCCCAUUUUGACAUUUAGAUAUCUAAAAACUGCAGCAUGUAGAAACUGGUAUCGUUAUCCAUAUCUUCACGCUUCCUCAGAAAUGAAUACAGAAUAAUCUUAUCUUCUGGUGUAGACACAUUACACUAAUCAUUUAUACAGCUGACGAGAAACUGAAACUGCUUCUGAGAUUUUGUGGUAUUUUUGUGGUAGAAAAAUUCUUGGCUUCUCCUUGGCAACCAUUUGCUGUGGCAGCAAGUUUUUGCUGGAGUUUUUGAGACUGCAAUUUACACUUAAAACUAGUGGCCUGCUACAUAACUGCACUUAGCCAGCAUUUCUGCAGUUCAUAACUGUGAGGAACGUAGUACCACAAAUGGCAAUGGACAUUAGGACCCGGAUGUAGUAUUCCUGCUUGCUCCAAGAUUCUCAUUGCCGACUGCGUACAGGUAGGUAACAAGCAAUAUAAUAUAACUUGGUGACUUUCUAUGUAAUCUUAUACUGUGGGUAUUCUGACAUCACACUUCUGACUGUGGAAUUACAGUGCAGCACUCCUCAUACCUGUAUGCUAAACUUGCAUCAAAGCUGCGUGGUUUUCGGUUUUAAGCUUUGUCUUGUUCAGAGUCAAUAAGCAACUUACUGUGAUUCUUAGAUAAGUAUUUCCAGACCCGAUUCCUUUGUACAUACAACUCGGCUUGUGUGAAUUUUUCUCAGCUACGAUGUAACGAAGAUGUUCUUAGACGAGCUCUGUGGGGAAGAGGGGAUGUGACCUUACACUCAGUUAACUAGUCAACUAGGUGCUAUCAGUGCCUAGAAAAGCAUCGUUUACACUUCCUGUAGUGACCAAGUGGCCCAUCUGCAGUGCAUCCCUUUGUAGAGUCUUGGCUCGGUAGGAAAUGUGUUAGUAAUCACUGCUCUAGCCCUCUGUGAACUGAUAGUCAAAGCUCACUAAUACAGCCAGCUUUAAGACUGAUUGGGAAUAUUUCUCAGGACAUACAAAUGAGUGCUUGAAUGAAUAUCCCUGUAAAAGUUCGGUAGAGCUUAUUGGAAAUUUCAGUUGUCUUUAUUUUAAUUAAUCCUUGAUUGACAAGCAUAUCACAUUUCUCUGCCUUUAAUUGCUAGUGGUGAGAUUCUGUAUUUCUGCCUCUUAGUCAUCUUGGUAGUGUAACGCUCAAUUUCAUUUUUCAUCAGUCUCGAGGAUGUAAUUCUAAACUCUUCAUUGCUAAAAAUGCUGAAUGUAGUGUUUCAGGAUAAACAUGCUUACGUUUCCAGACAUCCAGACACGCUGAUCUCCAGCUCUUUUGCAUUAGUUCUUGAACCUGAAUUUCAAGGUCCCUCGUUUCAGCACAUGAUCCAGCCUCUUGUCUGAUCAGUUUAUUUCAGAGGUGUUGUAAUGUGUUUUCCCCUUUGUUCUGCAAAGCUCUACUUUGCAAUCAUUGUUUCUGGUAUUUUGGACCAUUCUGUGUUACCUUCCAAAAAAUACUCUUGCUGGUGAACAGGUGAUCUGCUGGCCAGCCUUGCCCUCUGUCUGCUGUAGUUAGCUUUUCAGUGUUCCAUUGAAAGCAGCUGCACCUUAAACUUAAGAUCAUAAUACCAGGUCUUUGGUUACACCACAGUGAGUGUAGCUGAACACUAGCUAGUCAAGCAGUGGCACCACUUGUCACAUCCAGUUCGGCUUUUUGGUGAUGGCUUACUCUUAAUCUGCGACUAGAAUUUAGUAGCAAAACUGCUGACAGUACGCAUCGCAUGCUGUCGUGUAGCAAACCUGAACUGCUAAUCCUGAAACCAGUGCUCAGCUCUAACUUAGUAUGUCCAGUGUGCUCUGGAUACUUGACUUGACCUGUAGGAAUGUCGUGGAGGGGUUAUUGGCACAUCUGCUUUGUUCUACAUACUUAAACUAGUAGGAUUUUGACACUCUUGGAGCAAGCAAUCUGUGACUGAACCAUGGGUCUCAUACUAGCUCUGACUGUCUGCAGUAAUGAAACUUGGUGUGGUAGAUAACUUAAAAGCCAGUCUGUAACAAGUGGGUACCAAGAAAUGACAUUAAAGUGCUUGCAUUGUGUUUCAUCUUGAAUUUCUACCUGUGUGUGAAAUACACUUUUUCUCAAAAAAAAAAAAAAAAAGCUUAUAUAAAGCUUAUCUGAAGCUCAGAAGUGUGGUGUCAGAAUACAUAUGCGUACCUGUUAGGCCCUCAGAUCCAGAAUCUGGUGCUGUCAGGAGAGAGCACAGCAUAGCGUGUAUGGGGGCUUUACUGUAACAUUAAGCAUACAAAGUGUUGAUUUGCUUGCAGUUUUCCCCAUAGCUAAACACUGAGGCCUGUGAGUAGUUCUAGGACUUCAGCAGUAAUGGGGUUGCAUGUCUCUGUUAAUCAUUGCCAGCUGCAGUGACAUGAUCAGGAAGGCCAGCGUUUUGUUCCAUUCUCUUAAAUAAGGCUAAGCAUGUUGGAAAGGAUGCAUAAAAAGUUAUGCUGUUCUGGGUAAAUACUUGGCUUCUUCCACUACUAGCAAGUUUGGAAUCUGCUAAUUAGCUUCAGAUUUUUCUCUCCAUGCCAGCUAGUGGGGCUCUUAAAUAGCUGCUUACUGGAAAAGGAAAAAAUAAAACGGGAGGAUUGGCCUUCUCCCACUUCUGUCAUUGCUGCUAGAUAAUGAUUGACAUGUUAGGACUUGGCUGUGCAAUCCCGCAGUGGUCUGUGAAUACCCCAUCUCUAUAAAUGUUGCUUUUGAACACCAGUACUGAAGAGCUAACUGGGGAGGGUUGGGAGGAGUGUGCCUCUAAGUGAAUCUGGAGUGUUAAAAGGAUGCACAAAGAUAUAGUAUCCCUUAUGCAUGGUGUUUGUUGCUAUGGCAUAGAAAACAAAAUGUGCAUACUAUACUUCUGCUCCUGAGGGCCAUGAUAAAACCCAGGUGGUGGGUUUGAGACUAAACUUGAACUUGUCCCUACCUGGUCAAAUCACAUUGUGACCGUAGUGUGAUUUGCCUCCCAACAAGAGGUGUGCACAGAACGUUGUACUACUACAUCCCCUAGUUGCUAACUAUUGCAGCUUGCCCUCACCUUAGCUACAGUAAAAGGGUGGGUCUUUAGAAGGGAAGAAUCUCUUGCUUAGAAUAAAAGCAGUCUGACGAUGCUAAUCAAUAGUGUCUUCCUUUGGCUUUUGAAGCACUCCUAGGACUAUUGAACCGAGGGCUACUAGGAAUUAGGGACACUGCACUCCUUCACGAAGCAGAAGGAAGAGGGCAUUGUACAGGAAUCAAACUAGGUUAAAAUAGUUGAAGUAGCUUGAUAAAAUUAAUGCCUUCACAUAAGGGAUAGUAUACCUCUGGCUGCAAUCAAACUUCAUUGUACUCAGACUGGUGAUUUACGGUUUGUGCUCAGACAAGGUGCAGUUCUUCAGGCAACUACAUGCAUAUUCCUUCACCUCUUUACAAAUGUUUAGGCUAGCCUGUUUCUGCCCCUUAUUCUUCCACUUAAUAUUUUGGAAUAAUUUGUAAAUUCCCCCUCAUAACUAAUCAGUCCACAUAUCUUAAAACUUUGCUUUUAAGUUAGUUUUGAAAUGGCCAUAACUUGCUGUGUAUUAUAAUAAUAACUUCAAUUGUUAUCCUUUAGGUGAAGAUGCAAGCUGAGUGAAACUGGAGUGCUCAUCCAUUGGAAUUCAGGAGCUGAGCAUGAGCACAUCCAGCACGAUGUCCAGUGAUAUGUGAAUGGACCGAGAAAACAAGUGAACAAGUAAGUAGAUGCUGUCCUUAGGCUACUGCUCUGGUAGAGCAGUGCAUCACUGUGAUGUCAAGGUAGUUCCUGCCUGGAAUUUGCCUCUGAUUUUAAUCUCAAUUUUACGUGAAAAUGAUAAAUCUUUCUUUUGUAGAGCCAAGAUCUAACCAUUGUUUGAGGCUUUUCAGCCCUGCAGCAUCAAAUAAACUGUCAUCUGAACACUGUAGGUGGUCAAACAAGAAAUAAGCGUUUUUAAGUCAAGGUUCAAGUGGAAGGGGUAUGAAUAGGAUGGAGUGAUGUUGUCAGCAAGGAAAACAGGAAUAAAGCAGCUACUUAUCUGUUAAUCUAGCUAAAAGUUGUUAAAAGUGUUACUUAUCUGAAAUAGUGAGCAUUGAACUUUCAAAAUUACCUGCAAGAUAAGUUAGUGCGUACAAGAACGUAAGCCAGUAGUGGUUUAGGGAAAUAAACUAAUCUGCACAGCUGGAAUUAAUGAAAUUUUCCCUCUAAUUUGUUACUUAAACUACAAGGGGGAGCUUCAGAUAUUUUAAAUCUUGUGUGAGGAGCAGCAUGCAAAAGUACCUUAACACAUGAGUGAGGGGUAAGUAAUGCUUAGCCAUGCCACAGCUGAACCUGUAAGACGUGAAACCAGUGAGAUUCAAUUGGUGAACUCCUAUUGAAUCCUGUGUGAUUUGUCACCACUGCCCUUGUUUCUGGGGUAGUAAAACAAAGCCACUUGAUCUUUAGAGGUAGAUGAAAACAUGAAUGCUAUUUGUUUUAUCUCCAGUCUGAUGUAAGAUCUUAUGAUCAUAAAGAGUAUUUGAUAGGUGCAUGACCUUUGUGAUAACUGAUUCCCUUUCCAUGUCAUUGUGUGUGGUUUCUGGUGGAAUUUUAAAGUUCUUGCUAACUAUGUGUUUUUUACUUGCAGAAGAAGUCCAAAUGCAGUGAAGAGGAGCCAGGAACAUGCCAGUUUUUUACGAAUAAAAUAUUUAAUUUUU